RNAcentral lists this ribosomal RNA (253 nucleotides) under uncultured bacterium. RNAcentral's name for it is "partial 16S ribosomal RNA". It matches the Rfam family "Bacterial small subunit ribosomal RNA", at positions 524 to 776 of the family's 1533-position model. The record is from RNAcentral.
UACGAAGGGGGCUAGCGUUGCUCGGAUUGACUGGGCGUAAAGCGCACGUAGGCGGAUCGUUAAGUCGGGGGUGAAAUCCUGGAGCUCAACUCCAGAACUGCCUUCGAUACUGGCGAUCUUGAGUCCGGAAGAGGUGAGUGGAACUCCUAGUGUAGAGGUGGAAUUCGUAGAUAUUAGGAAGAACACCAGUGGCGAAGGCGGCUCACUGGUCCGGUACUGACGCUGAGGUGCGAAAGCGUGGGGAGCAAACAGG